This 253-nucleotide ribosomal RNA is filed under the name uncultured bacterium. RNAcentral's name for it is "partial 16S ribosomal RNA". It matches the Rfam family "Bacterial small subunit ribosomal RNA", at positions 524 to 776 of the family's 1533-position model. The record is from RNAcentral.
UACGUAGGGUGCGAGCGUUGUCCGGAAUUACUGGGCGUAAAGAGCUCGUAGGGGGUUUGUCGCGUUGUUCGUGAAAACUCACAGCUCAACUGUGGGCGUGCGGGCGAUACGGGCAGACUGGAGUACUGCAGGGGAGACUGGAAUUCCUGGUGUAGCGGUGGAAUGCGCAGAUAUCAGGAGGAACACCGGUGGCGAAGGCGGGUCUCUGGGCCGAUACUGACGCUGAGGAGCGAAAGCGUGGGGAGCAAACAGG